CAGGGGCCCGACGGCGGGCGGCGGAGGAUGGCGCAGGCGAUGCUGCGUUGGGCUCUGCUGCUUGUGGCCGUGACUUUCGCAGGUAGCGCUCGGAGCAAUCCUGACGAGCCAGGACCUCCGGAGGAGCGCGGGAGAGGGAGUCACGCCGGCGGCGGCCCCUGCCCGGCUCCGGGCGGCCUCGGCGACGGUACCCCCGCAUCCGUUACUGGCGGUUCCCCAGCGUACUUGCUAGGUGGAGGGGCGCGAACCCUGGGGUGUGGGGGUGGCGUUGUGGAGUCAGCCGCCCUCUUUAGUUCUUGCUUGGGCUUAGCUCCCAGCUCCAAGGGACACCUGCUGUCUAGGGGGCUUUCUCUGUUAAAGUAGAUUUUCUGGCACUCUGGCCCCUCGAUUUGGUCAGGCUUCAGAAUAUAGAACGCCAAACUGCGCUCAGUAUAAAUUACCAGGAUGUCCCAGGGACUUUAACCCUGUGUGUGGCAGUGACAUGUCCACUUACCCCAAUGAAUGUAUUCUGUGCAUGAAAAUCAGGGAAGAUGGUCAUGAUAUUAAAAUCAUCCGAAAUGAACCCUGCUAAUGGAGCAGUUUACAGAAAAGAAGAUGGAGAGACCACCUUGACCGGCACACUGGAUAAAUUGCAUUUCCUCUUUUUCUCUUUUCCUGUUUCUUUGCAUGAGAUUUGUUAAUCCACAUUUUCUGAGAGGAGAUAUGGAAGACAGCCAUGUGCAGUGAUGGAUAACUUAAAGAAAAAAAGCAUCUUCGUUUCUUGGCUUUUGCUCCUAGAGAUAAGCUUACUGCCUAGAUGACUUGUGCAUUGGUUUAUUCAGUUGAAAUAAAAUCAGCAUUGAAUUCA
Molecule: non-coding RNA, 847 nt
Organism: Saimiri boliviensis boliviensis (Bolivian squirrel monkey)
Lineage: Eukaryota; Metazoa; Chordata; Mammalia; Primates; Cebidae
Source: RefSeq, a predicted model, not a curated record